GUGCUCGCUUUGGCAGCCCAUAGACUAAAAUUGGAAAGAUACGGAGAAGAUUAGCAAAUGGUCUCUGCUCAAGGAUGAUACGCAAAUUUGUGAAGCAUUCCAUAUACAA
This 109-nucleotide small nuclear RNA is filed under the name Castor canadensis (American beaver). Lineage: Eukaryota; Metazoa; Chordata; Mammalia; Rodentia; Castoridae. The record is from RNAcentral.